This 180-nucleotide unclassified non-coding RNA is filed under the name Glomeromycotina sp. Its description in RNAcentral is "partial contains small subunit ribosomal RNA, internal transcribed spacer 1, and 5.8S ribosomal RNA". The stretch from base 1 to 47 matches the Rfam family "Eukaryotic small subunit ribosomal RNA", at positions 1785 to 1831 of the family's 1831-position model. Lineage: Eukaryota; Fungi; Glomeromycota. The record is from RNAcentral.
AAAGUCGUAACAAGGUUUCCGUAGGUGAACCUGCGGAAGGAUCAUUACUGAUUUAUGCGAACCUCGCGUCAGCGAGGAUCUCGCGUUCGUAUUUAAAACACCCACUCUUAAAAUUUAUAAUCAUGUAAAUAAAUAAAAUAAAAUAAAAGAUCACUUUCAACAACGGAUCUCUUGGCUCUC